UUAAUAUGCACUGCUCUACCUUUCCCAGCCCGCCCCUGAGUGGAAGCUGUUACUGCUAAUAUUUGAGGAAGGGCUUUUUUCCAUUGCUAUUUCCAAGAUAACACUGUGUAUAAACCCCAAAUUGUUAUUCAUUAUUCUCUCUUCUGCUGUUUGAAAUGAUUCAGUCAUCCCAGAAAAGAAGGGGAAUGGUCUCCACAGCACAGAUUUAUGUGGUGUCUGGGAGCACAGGUCUCUCUGGUACUGUAGCAGAAAUGCUAAGUCCUGGCCUGAACCAGUGAUGGAGCACCUGAUGGGAAGGCAGGGCCAACCCAGGGGAGCUCAGGUGCAUGCAAUGGAGCUGGGAUCCACCCCUUCCCAGACCUCAUUUAAGGGUUGGCAGAGGGAGGUGAGGGCAUCUUUUGCUGGAGAUUCCUGCCUACCUUUCUGAAGUCACAUCUUUUGAAAUGCACGGUCUUAGCAAAAUCCAUUUGAAAUGAAGUCUCAGAGUUGACAAGCAGUGAUUUAUCACAAAGCAGAACCGAAUGAGGACAUACAGAAGAAAUGUUACCUUUGUUUCCAUCCUUCUGGGGAAGUUAUGUAGAUUCUGCUUUGAGCUCCAUCAUGUCUUUGUCUGACGACAAUUGCAAUAAUGUCAAGAGCCCUGGAGUACUUCAAAGCCUGUCUGAAUCUGCUGCAUGGUAUUUCGAAUAUUUUUAGAUUGCUACCAGAUUUUGUACACAUUAAUUUGACGGUCCUUUCUUCAGACUUAAUGCAUAUUUAUACUGAAGUGGGUGCUUUUCUAAUGCACUCUUGGCAUUUUUAAAAUACAGGCCAUGGAAGCUGUUCUCUCACUGUAUCUUCACAUUGAAGAGAAGGGUGGAAAUGGGCAAUUUCCUUACUCAUAGCUACGCUGUUGUAGAAAAGAAGAUGAUGUAUAGUUUUACUGCAGCUAUGAGGAAAAGUGGGCCCAAAAGCCCAGACUGAAAAUUAAAUAUGCUCUUUAAUGGAAAAAAGGUGAUUUGAAUAGUGUUGCAUUUCACUGGAAAGUACACACACUGCAGCAUUCAAAUUUAAAGCGCCCAGAUUUGAGGCACAGAAAGCUAAAUAUUGUGGAAAUGUGAAAUCACCCCAUCAAGAGCAGAAUGUAAAAAGAAAAAAAAAAACAAACAAACCCAAAGAACUCAACCAUUGAAUGAACUUGAGAAAGCAUGACAUUUUCUCACGGUGCAUACGUUGGUGCCUGUGAAUAGAUGUUUACCCAGCUAGCUAGGGAAAAACAACUUUUUUUUUCUGCUUUUCCACGUUCAUUUGUUGUUGAGUUCAGAUGUGCUCUAUACUUGAACGCUCAAGCUAAAGAAAACAACAAAGCCACUUUGAACGACUUGACCAAAUGAACCUGCAGAAUUGCAAAAGAGUGGUAAGGAACACAGCCUCCUUCCCUUCCCCCUUCUUGCUAGAGAAGAAUCCUCAGAUGUGGGGCCUAGGAUGCAGCUCAUCAAAGCUGUUUCCAUUUUGAGCCCCAGUGGGAUGAGGCGGAGGGGUGAUGGGCACUGUAGGGUAUUCCUGUCUCUUUUUGGUGGGGAAACAUCAACCCCACAUCUCAGUGAAUACAAGUCCAUAUUGCUGGAGAGUGUGUUGCUAUGGGUUGCUGCACGUCUGUGCCACUCUUGAGCACAGUGGGAUCAAACACUGGUAAUACUGCAUCCUUGUCUGUGCGGGGAGACACUUCCAUCUGCCUGCUUUGUCUUUCUCUCCUGUUCUCUUGCCAAAACCUCACAGCAUCUUGCCCAGCUCUGCUCCUAAUCCUUUCAUCACCCAAUUCAUUAUGAAAUAGGCCAGCCCAUAGCGACUCCAUCUUAAGCCCACAAAUGGAUGUAGAAGUUAAAACAGUGAAAUUCUUCACAGGAAUUGACUUCAGUUAAGUUUUGGCUGAACCUAUUUUCUUUUGAGAAACUAUGUUUUGAUGAAAACUAGAGGGGUUUUGCACCUCAUGACAUUCUACUGGUUUUGAAAGGAAAAUGUGGUCUUCGGAAAUGUCAAAAUAGUAUUUUAGUGUGUGUGUGUACAUAUAUAUAAUAUAUUUUAAUAUUGUGCUUUUUCAUUGAUUUUGCUUUGAGUAUUUCUGUAUUACUUUGAGGCCUGUCAUAAAUAUUAUUUAAUAGGCAUACAGCCUGACAGCACAACAUGUAUGUAUUCCCUUACCUUUUAUAAUAAAUUUCAAGUACAGUUACUACUGAGUAGAGAUUGAAUGACGAAAUCAACACAAAAUCUUUGAGUAUUUCUCAUUUGAGAAAGCGGACAGGAGCAGCACUCAGAGUAUCACCCAAGAAUAGAUUUUUGUCAGUAGC
This is a long non-coding RNA of Numida meleagris (helmeted guineafowl), 2327 nucleotides long. RefSeq lists it as uncharacterized. The transcript is spliced from 3 exons. Lineage: Eukaryota; Metazoa; Chordata; Aves; Galliformes; Numididae. The record is from RefSeq and is a predicted model, not a curated record.